AGCUCCAGUAGCGUAUAUUAAAGUUGUUGCAGUUAAAAAGCUCGUAGUUGGAUCUCGGGUCGUCGACGGUGGUUCGGGUUCAUGCCCGCUUACUGCCGCCGACACCUAACCGGCGGGACGCGUCGGGUGCCCUUGACUGGGUCGCCCGCCGCACCCGCUCAAUUUACUUUGAAAAAAUUAGAGUGUUCAAAGCAGGCUCCAACGCCUGGAUAAUGGUGCAUGGAAUAAUGGAAUAGGAUCUCGGUUCUAUUUUGUUGGUUUUCGGAACUUGAGAUAAUGAUUAAGAGGGACAGACGGGGGCAUUCGUAUUGCGGUGUUAGAGGUGAAAUUCUUGGAUCGCCGCAAGACGAACUACUGCGAAAGCAUUUGCCAAGAAUGUUUUCAUUAAUCAAGAACGAAA
RNAcentral lists this ribosomal RNA (400 nucleotides) under phytoplankton environmental sample. RNAcentral describes it as "partial small subunit ribosomal RNA". It matches the Rfam family "Eukaryotic small subunit ribosomal RNA", at positions 587 to 988 of the family's 1831-position model. The record is from RNAcentral.